AUAUCUCUCCGUACGGGAAGGAUGAGAAGCUUCGAUUAAGGUUCGAUUCGAGCGCAGCGAGAAAGCGUUGCCGCAGGCAACGACCCGAAGGGCGAAGCGC
Molecule: small RNA, 100 nt
Filed under: Salmonella enterica subsp. enterica serovar Enteritidis
Lineage: Bacteria; Pseudomonadati; Pseudomonadota; Gammaproteobacteria; Enterobacterales; Enterobacteriaceae
Description: partial RtT sRNA
Rfam family: RtT RNA
About the family: This family represents a bacterial cis-regulatory element known as RtT RNA. The exact function of RtT is unknown although it is thought that it may be involved in changing the cellular response in relation to amino acid starvation.
Source: RNAcentral